AAUCAACGCUGGCGGCGUGCCUAACACAUGCAAGUCGAACGCGAAAAGGGCUUCGGCUCUGAGUAGAGUGGCGUCCGGGUGAGUAACGCGUGGGUAAUCUACCUUUGGGUGGGGAAUAACUAGUCGAAAGGCUAGCUAAUACCGCAUAACGCAAUUUUCUAUUAGGGAAUUGUUAAAGCAGUAAUGUGCCUAAAGAUGAGCCUGCGUCUGAUUAGUUUGUUGGUAGGGUAAUGGCCUACCAAGACUACUAUCAGUAGCUGGUCUGAGAGGACGGCCAGCCACAAUGGCACUGAAACACGGGCCAUACUCCUACGGGAGGCAGCAGUGGGGAAUCUUGCGCAAUGGGCGAAAGCCUGACGCAGCGACGCCGCGUGGAGGAUGACGGUUUUCGGAUUGUAAACUCCUGUUAAGCGGGAAGAAAGCCUUGUUUCUAAUACAAGCAAGGUAUGACGGUACCGCUAGAGAAAGCACCGGCUAACUUCGUGCCAGCAGCCGCGGU
This 499-nucleotide ribosomal RNA is filed under the name uncultured bacterium. RNAcentral's name for it is "bacterial SSU rRNA". It matches the Rfam family "Bacterial small subunit ribosomal RNA", at positions 32 to 521 of the family's 1533-position model. The record is from RNAcentral.